AGUGAACGCUGGCGGUAGGCCUAACACAUGCAAGUCGAACGGCAGCACAGUAAGAGCUUGCUCCUACGGGUGGCGAGUGGCGGACGGGUGAGGAAUACAUCGGAAUCUACUUUUUCGUGGGGGAUAACGUAGGGAAACUUACGCUAAUACCGCAUACGACCUACGGGUGAAAGCAGGGGAUCUUCGGACCUUGCGCGAUUGAAUAAGCCGAUGUCGGAUUAGCUAGUUGGCGGGGUAAAGGCCCACCAAGGCGACGAUCCGUAGCUGGUCUGAGAGGAUGAUCAGCCACACUGGAACUGAGACACGGUCCAGACUCCUACGGGAGGCAGCAGUGGGGAAUAUUGGACAAUGGGCGCAAGCCUGAUCCAGCCAUACCGCGUGGGUGAAGAAGGCCUUCGGGUUGUAAAGCCCUUUUGUUGGGAAAGAAAAGCAGCAGGUUAAUACCCCGCUGUUCUGACGGUACCCAAAGAAUAAGCACCGGCUAACUUCGUG
RNAcentral lists this ribosomal RNA (492 nucleotides) under uncultured bacterium. RNAcentral describes it as "partial 16S ribosomal RNA". It matches the Rfam family "Bacterial small subunit ribosomal RNA", at positions 29 to 507 of the family's 1533-position model. The record is from RNAcentral.